UGUGGCCUUGAGCCGUGGCUUUCGGAGCUAACGCGUUAAGUAGACCGCCUGGGGAGUACGGUCGCAAGAUUAAAACUCAAAUGAAUUGACGGGGGCCCGCACAAGCGGUGGAGCAUGUGGUUUAAUUCGAUGCAACGCGAAGAACCUUACCUACUCUUGACAUCCAGAGAACUUUUCAGAGAUGAAUUGGUGCCUUCGGGAACUCUGAGACAGGUGCUGCAUGGCUGUCGUCAGCUCGUGUCGUGAGAUG
This 250-nucleotide ribosomal RNA is filed under the name Vibrio sp. s2a2. Its description in RNAcentral is "partial 16S ribosomal RNA". It matches the Rfam family "Bacterial small subunit ribosomal RNA", at positions 825 to 1074 of the family's 1533-position model. RNAcentral also lists the same sequence under 2 other names. Lineage: Bacteria; Pseudomonadati; Pseudomonadota; Gammaproteobacteria; Vibrionales; Vibrionaceae. The record is from RNAcentral.